Long non-coding RNA from Aquila chrysaetos chrysaetos, 1418 nucleotides. RefSeq lists it as uncharacterized. The transcript has 2 exons. NCBI's taxonomy places the organism in Eukaryota, Metazoa, Chordata, Aves, Accipitriformes, Accipitridae. The record is from RefSeq and is a predicted model, not a curated record.
CCCAUCAUGUGGGGGUUGGAGGUCGCCCUGGAGUUGGGGGACCCCUGGUGUGUGGGGGUUGGAGGUCACCCUGGAGUUGGGGGACCCCUGGUGUGGGGGUUGGAGGUCACCCUGGAGUUGGGGGACCCCUGGUGUGUGGGGGUUGGAGGUCACCCUGGAGUUGGGGGACCCCUGGUGUGGGGGUUGGAGGUCACCCUGGAGUCGGGGGACCCCAUUGUGUGGGAGAUAGAGGUCACCCAGGGCCUGGGUGGGGAGCCCACGGUGUGGGGGUACAAAGGUCACCCUGGGGUUGAGAGACCCCCGUGGUGUGGAGGACAGAGGUCACCCUGGGGCUGGGGGUCCCUGCCAUGUGAGGGACGGGGGUCACCCUGGGGUUGGGGGACCCCGUCGUGUGGGGGACUGAGGUCACCCCGGAGUGGGGGGAACCCCACGGCUUAGGGGAAGGAGGUCGCCCUGGGUUUGGGGGACCCCGUCGUGUGGGGCUUGGGGGACCCCACGGCGUGAGGGAUGGAGGUCGCCCUGGACUUGGGGGUCCAGCUGGGGGAUGUUGGGGGGAGACGAGACCUGCUGGGUGCUGCGGCCUCAGGGUCCGGCGUCGGCCGAGGUGCUCGGUCCCCGUGUCCCACAUUGCCACAGAGACCUUUUGGGUCAUUUCCCCGCGGGGGGAGCCCGGCCCGCGGGCUGGCAGGGCUGGGGGCUCAGCUGGCGGCACCGACCUUGGCACGUCUCCUUGCCUUGCUGCCUGUACGUUUCUCGAGCCGAGCGCGCCGGGUGCUGCCGCGGGGGCCGUGCCUCAGUUUACCCACGCGCCCCGCUCUGCCUGAGCGGGUAGCUCUUGUGUUAUCCGUGUUUCUGGACACGCGGGACUGGGGAGGGACCGUGUCGCUAACCGAGCCCCGCAACCCGACGCGGGGAGCCCCGGCGCCGCACGCCGCGUCGGGGUGAUGCCGCGGCCCCGGCGCCUCGUCCGGCUCGUCGUCUGCCGCCGUGUUUAUUGCUUUGCUCCAUCCUCGCUUUUCCACCCCUGCCUGCGCCGUCUGCCUUGCCCUUCGCCCCCGGGGCCCGGCGGUUGGUUCGCCGUGCCGUGCUCGCGGCCGCGCCGCGUUCGCGCCCCGCGUCGUGCCGAGCCCGUGCGACUGCUUUGCAACGGCGGAGCCGGCGCGAGCACCCGGCUGCCGUCCCCAAACUUUGGGCGAGCGCCCGCUGCCAACCCUUGGAGCAGCAAGGGCGAGUGGCCGAGGCUCUUCCUCCUCCUCCUCCUCUUCCUCCUCCUCCGGCACCGAACCCCUUGGACCAGGGCAUCCCGACGCAGGUGAGGGGUGCACGGAGCCGGGGGGGGGGGCGGGUGCCGGGCUUGCCCGUGUGUGUGCGCCCGUCAGGCCACGAGUUGGGAGCCACGGGAGGGAGUUAAUGGAAGG